Molecule: ribosomal RNA, 383 nt
Filed under: uncultured eukaryote
Lineage: Eukaryota
Description: partial 18S ribosomal RNA
Rfam family: Eukaryotic small subunit ribosomal RNA
Source: RNAcentral
CAAUAGCGUAUAUUAAAGUUGUUGCAGUUAAAAAGCUCGUAGUUGGAUUUCUGGUGGGAGCGAUCGGUCUGGCGCUUAGCGCGAGUACUUGCCUCGUCUCCGGCCAUCCUUGGGGAAAGUCUGUCUGGCAUUAAGUUGUCGGGCAGAGGAUCCUCAUCGUUUACUGUGAAAAAAUUAGAGUGUUCAAAGCAGGCUUAUGCCGUUGAAUAUAUUAGCAUGGAAUAAUAAGAUAGGACUUUGGUACUAUUUUGUUGGUUUGCGCACCAAAGUAAUGAUUAAUAGGGACAGUUGGGGGUAUUCGUAUUCCGUUGUCAGAGGUGAAAUUCUUGGAUUUACGGAAGACGAACUACUGCGAAAGCAUUUACCAAGGAUGUUUUCAUUAA